This 468-nucleotide ribosomal RNA is filed under the name uncultured bacterium. RNAcentral describes it as "partial 16S ribosomal RNA". It matches the Rfam family "Bacterial small subunit ribosomal RNA", at positions 28 to 507 of the family's 1533-position model. The record is from RNAcentral.
GACGAACGCUGGCGGCGUGCUUAACACAUGCAAGUCGAACGGAAAGGCCCUGCUUUUGUGGGGUGCUCGAUUGGCGAACGGGUGAGUAACACGUGAGUAACCUGCCCUUGACUUUGUGAUAACUUCAGGAAACUGGGGCUCAUACCGGAUAGGAGCUCCUGCUGCAUGGUGGGGGUUGGAAAGUUUCGGCGGUUGGGGAUGGACUCGCGGGUUAUCAGCUUGUUUGUGGGGUAGUGGCUUACCAAGGCUUUGACGGGUAGCCGGCCUGAGAGGGUGACCGGCCACAUUGGGACUGCGAUACGGCCCAGACUCCUACGGGAGGCAGCAGUGGGGAAUAUUGCACAAUGGGCGGAAGCCUGAUGCAGCAACGCCGCGUGCGGGAUGACGGCCUUCGGGUUGUAAACCGCUUUCGCCUGUGACGAAGCGUGAGUGACGGUAAUGGGUAAAGAAGCACCGGCUAACUACGUG